AUAAACGCUGGCGGCGCACAUAAGACAUGCAAGUCGAACGGAAGUCGUUAUAAUUGAUUGGAGUGAAAGAUUAUCCGGAACGAAGAAGAUUUAUAACAAUGGCUUUAGUGGCGGACUGGUGAGUAACACGUAAGCAACCUGCCUAUUAGAGGGGAAUAACAGUGAGAAAUCAUUGCUAAUACCGCAUACUCCAUUUUCAUCACAUGAUUUAAAUGGGAAAGGAGCAAUCCGCUAAUAGAUGGGCUUGCGUCUGAUUAGAUAGUUGGUGGGGUAACGGCCUACCAAGUCAACGAUCAGUAGCCGGACUGAGAGGUUCAACGGCCACAUUGGGACUGAGAUACGGCCCAGACUCCUACGGGAGGCAGCAGUCGGGAAUAUUGCGCAAUGGAGGAAACUCUGAACCGCAGUGACGCCGCGUAUAGGAUGAAGGUUUUCGGAUUGUAAACUAUUGUCUGCAGGGAAGAAAUUUGACUGUACCUGCAAAGAAAGCUCCGGCUAACUACGUGCCAGCCGCCGC
This 517-nucleotide ribosomal RNA is filed under the name uncultured bacterium. RNAcentral describes it as "bacterial SSU rRNA". It matches the Rfam family "Bacterial small subunit ribosomal RNA", at positions 29 to 518 of the family's 1533-position model. The record is from RNAcentral.